RNAcentral lists this long non-coding RNA (585 nucleotides) under Cricetulus griseus (Chinese hamster). Its description in RNAcentral is "lncRNA (ENSCGRG00015040320.1)". The record is from RNAcentral. Lineage: Eukaryota; Metazoa; Chordata; Mammalia; Rodentia; Cricetidae.
UGGCUGCCAUAGAAACCAGCCUGCCAGGUCCAGGCCCGCGUCGCGCCGCGGUGGCCAUCCAGGCUCCUUCCCCGGCUCCCCAGAGCCAGCCCCCCGCUCGGGAUUGGUCCUGUUCAGGACGCUGAGGGACACUAGGCUCUGGUGGCGGAGCCAGAAGCAGACAGACAGCGGGGUUUGCCACGGCCCUGUGGGUCAGAUCUGCUGCUCAUCACAGCUCACAGAGGCUGUGCGACCCAGAUGUCUGCGCCCCGGGACACCCACGAGCCUGCUCCAGUGCCUGCCACUCGGCGCGCCUAGCCUGGCCGCACAGCGAGCUCCCCAGGCGGCCUCCCGACUGAGGAUGAGCUGUCACCUGCCAAAUUUUCAGGACAGCUCAGGGCUUAGAAGAGGGCUCAUCUAAAUAAAGGCCGGCUAAAGUGACAUUGUGCGGAUUUAAUCCUCUGGCUGCCUGUGUGACCAAAGGCUGAUUUACAAGAUUUCCUUUCUGGAGUUCAGAUUAUUAAGUCCCCAGGGUCCUGCAAUUUGACAGCAAGAGAAACACAAAAUGAAGGUCAGAGAUGAGAACCCGCUGCAGGGACUCGGGGG